GAUUUCUGACUUGAUCCACCUAGCCCGCUAUCGAAAGGUAGUGAGUGCUGGGCUGUGUCGUGUCAUCCUUGUAGAAAACUCGCGUGCCCUUAACUGGUGUUGCGCGGGCGAUCUACAUCUUUUACUUUGAAAAAAUUAGAGUGUUCAAAGCAGGCUUACGCUGUGAAUACAUUAGCAUGGAAUAAUAAUUUAGGACUUCGGUUCCUAUUUUGUUGGUUUCUAGGACUGAAGUAAUGAUUGAUAGGGAUAGUUGGGGGUGCUAGUAUUCAGCGGCCAGAGGUGAAAUUCUUGGAUUCGCUGAAGACUAACUUAUGCGAAAGCAUU
RNAcentral lists this ribosomal RNA (324 nucleotides) under uncultured Cercozoa. RNAcentral describes it as "bacterial SSU rRNA". The stretch from base 111 to 324 matches the Rfam family "Eukaryotic small subunit ribosomal RNA", at positions 741 to 955 of the family's 1831-position model. The record is from RNAcentral. Lineage: Eukaryota; Cercozoa.